UGGUUACUGCGAUGGAGGGACGGAGAAGGCUAGGCCAGCUUGGCGUUGGUUGUCCAAGUUUAAGGUGGUAGGUUGAAAUCUUAGGUAAAUCCGGGGUUCCAAGGCCGAGAGCUGAUGACGAGUCGUCUUUUAGAUGACGAAGUGGUUGAUGCCAUGCUUCCAAGAAAAGCUUCUAAGCUUCAGGUAACCAGGAACCGUACCCCAAACCGACACAGGUGGUCGGGUAGAGAAUACCAAGGCGCUUGAGAGAACUCGGGUGAAGGAACUAGGCAAAAUGGCACCGUAACUUCGGGAGAAGGUGCGCCGGCUAGGGUGAAGGAUUUACUCCGUAAGCUCUGGCUGGUCGAAGAUACCAGGCCGCUGCGACUGUUUAUUAAAAACACAGCACUCUGCAAACACGAAAGUGGACGUAUAGGGUGUGACGCCUCCCCGGUGCCGGAAGGUUAAUUGAUGGGGUUAGCGCAAGCGAAGCUCUUGAUCGAAGCCCCGGUAAACGGCGGCCGUAACUAUAACGGUCCUAAGGUAGCGAAAUUCCUUGUCGGGUAAGUUCCGACCUGCACGAAUGGCGUAACGAUGGCGGCGCUGUCUCCACCCGAGACUCAGUGAAAUUGAAAUCGCUGUGAAGAUGCAGUGUAUCCGCGGCUAGACGGGAAGACCCCGUGAACCUUUACUGUAGCUUUGCACUGGACUUUGAGCCUGCUUGUGUAGGAUAGGUGGGAGGCUUUGAAGCGUGGACGCCAGUUCGCGUGGAGCCAUCCUUGAAAUACCACCCUGGCAUGCUUGAGGUUCUAACUCUGGUCCGUAAUCCGGAUCGAGGACAGUGUAUGGUGGGCAGUUUGACUGGGGCGGUCUCCUCCUAAAGAGUAACGGAGGAGUACGAAGGUGCGCUCAGACCGGGCGGAAAUCGGUCGCAGAGUAUAAAGGCAAAAGCGCGCUUGACUGCGAGACAGACACGUCGAGCAGGUACGAAAGUAGGUCUUAGUGAUCCGGUGGUUCUGUAUGGAAGGGCCAUCGCUCAACGGAUAAAAGGUACUCCGGGGAUAACAGGCUGAUACCGCCCUAGAGUUCAUAUCGACGGCGGUGUUCGGCACCUCGAUGUCGGCUCAUCACAUCCUGGGGCUGAAGCCGGUCCCAAGGGUAUGGCUGUUCGCCAUUUAAAGUGGUACGCGAGCUGGGUUUAGAACGUCGUGAGACAGUUCGGUCCCUAUCUGCCGUGGACGUUUGAGAUUUGAGAGGGGCUGCUCCUAGUACGAGAGGACCGGAGUGGACGAACCUCUGGUGUUCCGGUUGUCACGCCAGUGGCAUUGCCGGGUAGCUAUGUUCGGAAAAGAUAACCGCUGAAAGCAUCUAAGCGGGAAACUUGCCUCAAGAUGAGAUCUCACUGGGAACUUGAUUCCCCUGAAGGGCCGUCGAAGACUACGACGUUGAUAGGCUGGGUGUGUAAGCGUUG
RNAcentral lists this ribosomal RNA (1450 nucleotides) under metagenome. Its description in RNAcentral is "bacterial LSU rRNA". It matches the Rfam family "Bacterial large subunit ribosomal RNA", at positions 1448 to 2878 of the family's 2925-position model. The record is from RNAcentral.